AAUGGGCGAAAGCCUGACGGAGCAACGCCGCGUGAGGGACGAAGGCCUCUGGGCUGUAAACCUCUUUCCUCAAGGAAGAAGAUAUGACGGUACUUGAGGAAUAAGCCACGGCUAAUUCCGUGCCAGCAGCCGCGGUAAUACGGGAGUGGCAAGCGUUAUCCGGAAUUAUUGGGCGUAAAGCGUCCGCAGGCGGCCUUUCAAGUCUGCUGUUAAAGCGUGGAGCUUAACUCCAUUAUGGCAGUGGAAACUGAUCGGCUUGAGUAUGGUAGGGGCAGAGGGAAUUCCCGGUGUAGCGGUGAAAUGCGUAGAUAUCGGGAAGAACACCAGUGGCGAAGGCGCUCUGCUGGGCCAUUACUGACGCUCAUGGACGAAAGCCAGGGGAGCGAAAGGGAUU
This 394-nucleotide ribosomal RNA is filed under the name uncultured Gammaproteobacteria bacterium. RNAcentral describes it as "bacterial SSU rRNA". It matches the Rfam family "Bacterial small subunit ribosomal RNA", at positions 370 to 779 of the family's 1533-position model. The record is from RNAcentral. Lineage: Bacteria; Pseudomonadati; Pseudomonadota; Gammaproteobacteria.